AUGGGUGCGAGCAGCGAUCCGAAUCAGGACGGGUCGGACGAGCAGCAGCGGCGGUCGGAGAUCUACACCUACGAAGCUCCAUGGCACAUCUAUGCCAUGAACUGGAGCGUGCGCAAGGACAAGAAAUACCGCCUCGCCAUCGCCAGCCUCCUCGAGCAGUACCCUAACCGCGUUGAAAUCGUCCAGCUCGACGACUCCACCGGAGAGAUCCGCUCCGACCCGGCCAUCUCCUUCGACCACCCCUACCCGCCGACCAAGCUCAUCUUCGUCCCCGACAAGGAGUGCCAGCGCCCCGAUUUGCUCGCCUCCUCCUCCGAUUUCCUCCGCCUCUGGCAAAUCUCCGAUUCCGACGGCGGCCGCCGCGUCGAGCUCAAGAGCCUGCUCAACAACAACCGCAACAGCGAGUUCUCCGGCCCGCUGACUUCGUUUGACUGGAACGAGGCCGAGCCGCGGCGGAUUGGGACCUCCAGCAUCGACACCACCUGCACUAUUUGGGAUAUCGAGAAGGAGAUGGUGGAUACGCAGCUAAUUGCGCACGAUAAGGAGGUCUACGACAUCGCGUGGGGCGGCGUUGGGGUUUUCGCGUCGGUUUCGGCCGACGGCUCGGUUAGGGUUUUCGAUCUGCGCGACAAGGAGCAUUCGACCAUAAUCUACGAGAGCUCGGAGCCGGACACGCCGCUGGUGCGGCUCGGCUGGAAUAAGCAGGAUCCGAGAUACAUGGCGACCAUCAUAAUGGACAGUAGCAAGGUCGUGGUGUUGGAUAUACGCUUCCCGACGCUGCCGGUGGUGGAGCUGCAGCGGCAUCAGGCCAGUGUGAAUGCAAUUGCGUGGGCGCCGCAUAGUUCCUGCCACAUUUGCACGGCGGGGGAUGAUUCUCAGGCUUUGAUUUGGGACCUCUCGUCGAUGGGGCAGCCGGUGGAGGGCGGGUUGGACCCGAUUCUGGCAUACACUGCCGGGGCGGAGAUUGAGCAGCUGCAGUGGUCGUCUUCGCAGCCUGACUGGGUGGCGAUUGCAUUUUCGAACAAGCUACAGAUUCUGAGGGAGUAAUGAUGCUUUGCUUUGCUCAACGACUCAAAGUGCUUGGCGUUUAAGAGUCCAGCAAGUUGAAGAAGGUGUAUUGUAGAUUAAGCAGUGCACCAGUGGUCUGUGAUUGAAGGACGGUGGGUGAAGUGAACAUGGUUUUAUAGUGCUGUGAUAUGCAAUGAUUUUCCGAAUUUCGUGUGGUUGUGAGAUCAAUUGGAAGGCUGAAGGAUCUGGUAUCCAAAUUACCUGGUUAGUUUUACCUAUAUAUGUCAGCCCCUUUGAGAUGGCCAUGGUAAAUGUCUAUGAUAAGGAGGAGAAUCUUGCCUUCGAUCUCUUCAUUCUAUCUCGUUCGACUCUCUUAGCAUUGAAUCUGCAAAUUUAAACUGCAGACUCGACAGUAUCGCAGACAGUGUAGUUUGUGAAAGCUUUUCCACUUGAUACUUCAUGGUGUGAAGCUUCAUAUAUGAGGUUUGCAAUUAGCUGUUUCCAUCGUUGUUGUAUAGUUAUAUUCAUAACAUGGUUAUUAUUGUUGUGUUCACUCUCAUGAAUAUCCAUACCCCAAUAAUUUUGGUGGAGAGCUUGUUGCAGAUUUGAGAAAAUUAUGAUUUGAUUUCUUGCUGAGCUUUAUCUUAGAAAAAUUUCCCUACUUAGUUGUUGUAUUUGUCUGAGAUUUUAUUUUUCCAGUUGUAAGGAAAGGAACCCACAAGAUUUUACCCUUUUAGUGGCAUUAUACAAUGAUGGGGAAGUCUUAUGUUGUGUCAAUAUUUAUAUCGGAUUCAAACACCAACGAAAUUAUAAAUGUAUUAUUGAAUUUGUGUUUGGAUUCA
Salvia miltiorrhiza (redroot sage) is the source of this 1850-nucleotide RNA transcript. It is a transcript of the gene named WD repeat-containing protein LWD1-like, with no coding region annotated. Lineage: Eukaryota; Viridiplantae; Streptophyta; Magnoliopsida; Lamiales; Lamiaceae. The transcript has 3 exons. The record is from RefSeq and is a predicted model, not a curated record.